CCCCUCGACAAUGAAGAACUGAUCGCCUACAUUCUUCAAGGCCUCGGGAGAGAAUAUGAAUCCCUCGUCACCUCCAUCACCACGCAGGUCGACUCCUACACCCUCAGCGAUGUCUUCGCCCACAUGUUGAGUGCUGAGA
This 139-nucleotide small nucleolar RNA is filed under the name Dichanthelium oligosanthes. RNAcentral's name for it is "Small nucleolar RNA Z247". It matches the Rfam family "Small nucleolar RNA Z247". Rfam says of the family: Z247 is a member of the C/D class of snoRNA which contain the C (UGAUGA) and D (CUGA) box motifs. The record is from Rfam by way of RNAcentral. Lineage: Eukaryota; Viridiplantae; Streptophyta; Magnoliopsida; Poales; Poaceae.